AUUGAACGCUGGCGGCAGGCCUAACACAUGCAAGUCGAGCGGAUGAAGGGAGCUUGCUCCUGGAUUCAGCGGCGGACGGGUGAGUAAUGCCUAGGAAUCUGCCUGGUAGUGGGGGAUAACGUCCGGAAACGGGCGCUAAUACCGCAUACGUCCUGAGGGAGAAAGUUGGGGAUCUUCGGACCUCACGCUAUCAGAUGAGCCUAGGUCGGAUUAGCUAGUUGGUGGGGUAAAUGCCUACCAAGGCGACGAUCCGUAACUGGUCUGAGAGGAUGAUCAGUCACACUGGAACUGAGACACGGUCCAGACUCCUACGGGAGGCAGCAGUGGGGAAUAUUGGACAAUGGGCGAAAGCCUGAUACAGCCAUGCCGCGUGUGUGAAGAAGGUCUUCGGAUUGUAAAGCACUUUAAGUUGGGAGGAAGGGCAGUAAGUUAAUACCUUGCUGUUUUGACGUUAACAACAGAAUAAGCACCGGCUAACUACGUG
Molecule: ribosomal RNA, 484 nt
Filed under: uncultured bacterium
Lineage: Bacteria
Description: partial 16S ribosomal RNA
Rfam family: Bacterial small subunit ribosomal RNA
Source: RNAcentral